CCCUUAGAUGUUCUGGGCCGCACGCGUGCUACACUGAGUGGAUCAGCGGGUCAGGUUGCGCGAAAGCGUUUCCUAAUCUUUAAAUCCGCUCGUGAUGGGGAUUGACGGUUGCAAUUUUCUGUCAUGAACGAGGAAUACCUUGUAAGCGCGGGUCAUCAUCCCGCGCUGAAUACGUCCCUGCCCUUUGUACACACUGCCCGUCGCUCCUACCGAUUGAGUGGUCCGGUGAGGCUUUGGGAUCUGAGCGGAAAGAGCGUUUCGCUGUUUCUGCUCGGAAAACUCAGUCGAACCUUAUCAUUUAGAGGAAGGAGAAGCCGUAACA
RNAcentral lists this ribosomal RNA (322 nucleotides) under uncultured eukaryote. RNAcentral describes it as "partial 18S ribosomal RNA". It matches the Rfam family "Eukaryotic small subunit ribosomal RNA", at positions 1470 to 1796 of the family's 1831-position model. The record is from RNAcentral.